RNAcentral lists this transfer RNA (71 nucleotides) under Loxodonta africana (African savanna elephant). It matches the Rfam family "tRNA". From Rfam's summary of the family: Transfer RNA (tRNA) molecules are approximately 80 nucleotides in length. The record is from Rfam by way of RNAcentral. Lineage: Eukaryota; Metazoa; Chordata; Mammalia; Proboscidea; Elephantidae.
GCACUGAUGGUUCAAUGGCAGAAUUCUCACCUUCCAUGUGGAAGGCCCUCGUUUGAUUCCUGGCCAGUGCA